UCCGGUCUGUAGUGAUUGACAGGUCCUAUGGAUCAGGCAGCCGAGACUCUGCUCUACUCAUUUAGAUUAAUUCUGAUAUAACUGUUGGUUUAUUUAUCAGUGGAGCAGCAGAAUCUUUUCCACAGACAGUUUUUCUGCCCCUUGGCUUGUUUUAACCAGUAUUCUGCCUUCGGCUGAUUCUACCAGCGGACACUGAAAGGACUCUGAUUGUUCGGUGUCUCAUUUUCACUGAGGAUCUUCUGAGUGAAACCCACUGAAGGAAAACCUCAUCUGGUUGUGAAGAAGUAGACUGAAUGGACGACAUCCUCAGGGAACCACUUCCUGUUUAGCUUUCAGUUACAGAAGGACAGAUCAACUGUUUCAGCUGUUUAUUAUUCUCUUUUCUUAGUAUUCACAGGUUCCAUUUAUCACCUUUAACUUCAUCUCUGCUGUUGUAGCAUAAUGAUAAUACAGAGUACAUGUUGUCAUUAUUUAUAGCAGAUAUGCUGCAUUAAAACAACACAUUGAGGUCAAGAGCUUCAUUAUUUCCUUUACUGCACAUUUAAAAACUACAUUUAACAAUUCUGAACUGUAAAGAUGUUUAAACACAUAUAAUACAUGGAUGAAAUAAAUGUGUUGCUGAGAGUGAAAUAUAAAAACUGAACAGUCACAAGACAAGUUGUAUUCUGAAGAGAGGAGCUGAAUCUGCAGCAUUAUUGUUAUUACUGGAAGGAUGAGGAGGACAUCAGUGCUGCUCUUCCUCACAGUGAUGAAGGAGAAAAGACUCUUCAGACAACCACAGCUGGAUGUUCAUGUUCUCUGGAGCUCUCAGUCCAUCAGACCAGAUGUUCCCAAUGAUCCAGACCAAGGCUGGAAGGAAAAGAAACUAACAGUGAGGAAAGGAUCUGCAAGGUUCUUUCAUUCCAACUGCUGGAACAUUAAAUAUCAGAGUGGACACAGCAGGAUAUGAAUGGAACACAAUAGAGUGUUGUAUUUUUUGUAUGUUUGUUUUCCUGGUUGAGGCCAAAGAACAUUUUACUGCCUUAGAUGGACAAUAAAGUUUAUUUUGUUUUAUUAUAAUGUA
Molecule: long non-coding RNA, 1063 nt
Organism: Amphiprion ocellaris (clown anemonefish)
Lineage: Eukaryota; Metazoa; Chordata; Actinopteri; Pomacentridae
Exons: 2
Source: RefSeq, a predicted model, not a curated record